RNAcentral lists this long non-coding RNA (216 nucleotides) under Elaeis guineensis (African oil palm). RNAcentral's name for it is "long non-coding RNA (EGUI_LNC003460)". The record is from RNAcentral. Lineage: Eukaryota; Viridiplantae; Streptophyta; Magnoliopsida; Arecales; Arecaceae.
CAAUGACGGGUAUCAUCAAUAUGAUCCCAGAUCUCGAAGAUGAAGAAAAUUUACGGUAGUGCAGUACAUACAAUUAAAAAAUUGUGCAGCAAAAAUAAUAGAUUAACAAUUUAAUCCUAAUCACAUGUAUAAGAUCUAAUCUUAGACUACCACAUUAGGAUCUUUGAUAUAAAAAAUAUGUGCUUUAGAUCUAAAAAUAAAAAUCACAUCGAUCUC